RNAcentral lists this non-coding RNA (110 nucleotides) under Aneurinibacillus sp. XH2. RNAcentral describes it as "SAM riboswitch aptamer (S box leader)". It matches the Rfam family "SAM riboswitch aptamer (S box leader)". From Rfam's summary of the family: The SAM riboswitch is found upstream of a number of genes which code for proteins involved in methionine or cysteine biosynthesis in Gram-positive bacteria. The SAM riboswitch acts at the level of transcription termination control. The predicted structure consists of a complex stem-loop region followed by a single stem loop terminator region. The record is from Rfam by way of RNAcentral. Lineage: Bacteria; Bacillati; Bacillota; Bacilli; Caryophanales; Paenibacillaceae. RNAcentral also lists the same sequence under 1 other name.
UUCUUAUCUAGAGAGGUGGAGGGACUGGCCCGGUGAAACCUCGGCAACCAUUGGAGACUACAUCCAAACGGUGCCAAUUCCAACAGGAUUUAUGUCCUGAAAGAUAAGGA